Molecule: ribosomal RNA, 642 nt
Filed under: uncultured bacterium
Lineage: Bacteria
Description: bacterial SSU rRNA
Rfam family: Bacterial small subunit ribosomal RNA
Source: RNAcentral
CGCGGCCUAUCAGCUUGUUGGUGGGGUGAUGGCCUACCAAGGCGACGACGGGUAGCCGGCCUGAGAGGGUGACCGGCCACACUGGGACUGAGACACGGCCCAGACUCCUACGGGAGGCAGCAGUGGGGAAUAUUGCACAAUGGGCGGAAGCCUGAUGCAGCGACGCCGCGUGGGGGAUGACGGCCUUCGGGUUGUAAACCCCUUUCGCCCGGGACGAAGCGAGAGUGACGGUACCGGGAGAAGAAGCACCGGCCAACUACGUGCCAGCAGCCGCGGUAAUACGUAGGGUCCGAGCGUUGUCCGGAAUUAUUGGGCGUAAAGAGCUCGUAGGCGGCCUGUCGCGUCUGCUGUGAAAGUCCGGGGCUUAACUCCGGGUGUGCAGUGGAUACGGGCAGGCUUGAGGUAGGCAGGGGAGACUGGAGUUCCUGGUGUAGCGGUGAAAUGCGCAGAUAUCAGGAGGAACACCGGUGGCGAAGGCGGGUCUCUGGGCCUUACCUGACGCUGAGGAGCGAAAGCGUGGGGAGCGAACAGGAUUAGAUACCCUGGUAGUCCACGCCGUAAACGUUGGGCGCUAGGUGUGGGGACUUUCCACGGUUUCCGUGCCGUAGCUAACGCAUUAAGCGCCCCGCCUGGGGAGUACGG